GAUACUAUGCGGUUGGCCGAAUGACAGGGACACUUUUUUAAAUAUCAGAUUACCUAUAAUAACGGUAUCACCAAGAUAUUUGCACGUUUGAAUCCUUCUGCGGGUCCAGUUCAACUGCUAGUUAUACACCCAUUGCCUAUGUUUCCUCCACCACAGUCAGGCAGAGGGGAUGAGGUUGAGCUCGACGUAAGCUAUAUAGG
Molecule: long non-coding RNA, 200 nt
Filed under: Panax ginseng (ginseng)
Lineage: Eukaryota; Viridiplantae; Streptophyta; Magnoliopsida; Apiales; Araliaceae
Description: long non-coding RNA (PGIN_LNC001655)
Source: RNAcentral